GAAAAAGUUAUUAAGGGCAAGGAGUGGAUGCCUUGGCGAUAUCAGGCUAAGAAGGACGUGACAAGCUGCGAUAAGCUUCGGGGAGCGGCACAUACGCUUUGAUCCGGAGAUGUCCGAAUGGGGAAACCCGGCUGAUGUAACAAUUAGUCAUUGUGCGCUGAAUACAUAGGCGUAUAAAGCGAACCCGCUGAACUGAAACAUCUAAGUAGGCGGAGGAAAAGAAAGCGAAAGCGAUUCCCAGAGUAGUGGCGAGCGAAAUGGGAGCAGUCUAAACCGUUAGAAUUUAUUCGAACGGGGUUGUAGGAGCCAGACGUUGGAUCACGAAUAAUAGCGGAAUCCUUUGGAAAGAGGAGUCAGAGAGGGUGAUAGCCCCGUAUGCGAAAUUUGCAGUGACCAUAUGGAAUUCCUAAGUAGCACGGGCCACGUGAAAUCUCGUGUGAAUCUGCGCGGACCACCGCGUAAGACUAAAUACUCGAUAUCGACCGAUAGUGAACAAGUACCGUGAGGGAAAGGUGAAAAGAACUCCGUGAGGAGAGUGAAAUAGUACCUGAAACUGGUUGCCUACAAGCGGUCGGAGCACCUUUAUGGUGUGACGGCGUACCUUUUGCAUAAUGGGUCUGGGAGUUAUUGUCUACGGCGAGCUUAAAGCUUUACGGGCUGGAGGCGGAGCGAAAGCGAGUCUGAAUAGGGCGAUUAGUCAUAGGCAAUAGACCCGAAACGGGAUGAUCUACCCAUGGUCAGGUUGAAGCUCGAGUGAGAUCGAGUGGAGGACCGAACUGGUGGACCUUGAGAAGUUCUCGGAUGAACUGUGGGUAGGGGUGAAAGGCUAAUCAAAUUCCGUUAUAGCUGGUUCUCUUCGAAAUAUAUUUAGGUAUAGCCUCAUGCGCUGACGAUCGGGGGUAGAGCACUGAAAAGGCUAGGGCCCAUACCCGGGUACCAAACCUUAUCAAACUCCGAAUACCGGUCGGUGUAGCAUGGGAGUCAGUCUGUGGGGGAUAAGCUUCAUGGACGAGAGGGCAACAGCCCAGACCGCCGAUUAAGGCCCCAAAAUCAUUACUAAGUGGUAAAAAGGAUGUGAAUUUACUUAGACAAUAGGGAUGUUGGCUUAGAAGCAGCCAUCAUUUAAACAGUGCGUAAUAGCUGACCUAUCGAGCGAGUUUGCGCCGAAGAUGAUCGGGACUAAAGUAAUGUGCCGAAAUUGCGGACUUAUAAAUAUUAUGAGUGGUAGAAGAGCGUUCCAAUCGGGCAGAAGCCAAAGGGGCAACCGAUGGUGGACUGAUUGGAAGUGAGUAUCCAGACAUGAGUAACGAUAAAUACGGUGGGAAUCCGUAUCGCCGAAAGGACAAGGUUUCCUGGGGAAGGUUCGUCC
Molecule: ribosomal RNA, 1369 nt
Filed under: Puniceicoccales bacterium
Lineage: Bacteria; Pseudomonadati; Verrucomicrobiota; Opitutia; Puniceicoccales
Description: partial 23S ribosomal RNA
Rfam family: Bacterial large subunit ribosomal RNA
Source: RNAcentral